RNAcentral lists this transfer RNA (72 nucleotides) under Stegodyphus mimosarum. It matches the Rfam family "tRNA". Rfam says of the family: Transfer RNA (tRNA) molecules are approximately 80 nucleotides in length. Their secondary structure includes four short double-helical elements and three loops (D, anti-codon, and T loops). Further hydrogen bonds mediate the characteristic L-shaped molecular structure. tRNAs have two regions of fundamental functional importance: the anti-codon, which is responsible for specific mRNA codon recognition, and the 3' end, to which the tRNAs corresponding amino acid is attached (by aminoacyl-tRNA synthetases). tRNAs cope with the degeneracy of the genetic code in two manners: having more than one tRNA (with a specific anti-codon) for a particular amino acid; and 'wobble' base-pairing, i.e. permitting non-standard base-pairing at the 3rd anti-codon position. Lineage: Eukaryota; Metazoa; Arthropoda; Arachnida; Araneae; Eresidae. The record is from Rfam by way of RNAcentral.
GCCUUCGUGGUGUAACGGUUAGCAGACUCGGUACGUAUUCGAGAGGCCCAGGUUCGAGUCCCAGCGAGGGCA